Molecule: ribosomal RNA, 439 nt
Filed under: uncultured bacterium
Lineage: Bacteria
Description: partial 16S ribosomal RNA
Rfam family: Bacterial small subunit ribosomal RNA
Source: RNAcentral
CUACGGGUGGCACCAGUGGGGAAUAUUGGACAAUGGGCGCAAGCCUGAUCCAGCCAUGCCGCGUGAGUGAUGAAGGCCCUAGGGUUGUAAAGCUCUUUCAACGGUGAAGAUAAUGACGGUAACCGUAGAAGAAGCCCCGGCUAACUUCGUGCCAGCAGCCGCGGUAAUACGAAGGGGGCUAGCGUUGUUCGGAAUAACUGGGCGUAAAGCGCACGUAGGCGGAAUGUUAAGUGAGGGGUGAAGUCCCGGGGCUCAACCCCGGAACUGCCUUUCAUACUGGCAAUCUAGAGAUCGAGAGAGGUGAGUGGAAUUCCGAGUGUAGAGGUGAAAUUCGUAGAUAUUCGGAGGAACACCAGUGGCGAAGGCGGCUCACUGGCUCGAUACUGACGCUGAGGUGCGAAAGCGUGGGGAGCAAACAGGAUUAGAUACCCCGGUAGUC